CUGGCGGCAUGGAUUAGGCAUGCAAGUCGAACGAAGCAGCAAUGCUUAGUGGCGCAAGGGUGAGGAACGCGUGAGUGACUUACCCGCAAGUUUGGAACAGCUCCUGGAAACGGGAUUAAUACCGGAUGUGAUCGAAUGGGCUGCAUGGUUUAUUGAUUAAAGCAGUAAUGCGCUUGCGGAUGGGCUCGCGUCCCAGUUAGCCUAGUUGAUGAGGUAACGGCCCACCAAGGCCAUGAUGGGUAGCUGGUCUGAGAGGACGACCAGCCACACUGGGACUGAGAACUGCCCAGACUCCUACGGGAGGCUGCAGUCGAGAAUUUUGGGCAAUGGACGAAAGUCUGACCCAGCAAUGCCGCGUGCGGGAUGAAGGUCUUCGGAUUGUAAACCGCUGUUUGGAGGGACGAAAUUUGACGGUACCUCCAGAGAAAGCCACGGCUAACUACGUGCCAGCCGCGGC
This 457-nucleotide ribosomal RNA is filed under the name uncultured bacterium. RNAcentral describes it as "bacterial SSU rRNA". It matches the Rfam family "Bacterial small subunit ribosomal RNA", at positions 36 to 518 of the family's 1533-position model. The record is from RNAcentral.